ACGUGCUGCCCCGGCAGAUGCGACUAUAUAAGAGAGGACGGCGCCCAUCCCACGUACAGUCCGACCCCUCUGCACGAGCGGCUCUUCCAGUCUCGAGAUGAGGACUCUGACGCUGUUGGUGCUGGUGGCGGCGCUGGUGGGCGUGGCGCUGUGCGUCCCGCUGCCGCUGCCGCUGCCCGGCCCCAUGCCGGCCGCCCCCGCCGCCCCCGCCGCCCCCCGCGAGUCACUGCGCGCCAGCGAGCAGUUCUACUACCCGUACGCCUACUCGUACUACCCGUACGGGUACUACCUGCUGGGCUGAGGCGGCGGCGCCCCCCACCCGCCACUGCUCACCGACUCCUGCGACGGACUCUUCAAGGACCCGGCUCUCGCUUUCUGUACUUGUCAAUUAGCCUUGUAGCGCAUAAUAAACAGACACUCCUGGCCAAA
Molecule: long non-coding RNA, 429 nt
Organism: Schistocerca americana (American grasshopper)
Lineage: Eukaryota; Metazoa; Arthropoda; Insecta; Orthoptera; Acrididae
Exons: 2
Source: RefSeq, a predicted model, not a curated record